GGAUACAAUACGGGACUGUACGGGAACAAUGUUGGCGGCGGACAACAUGUCGCGUAUGGGCAUUCAGGAUACAACAGCCUUAGCAUUGAAAGUGGUUACGACAGCAAUUACCUAGGAUGGCGAGAAGGACAAAAGUCCAACGGCACUGCGGUCGCUGAUGCGGCUGCCAUCGAAGCCUCUGCUCUUUCCGUCGAUUCCAGUCCAGCCAGUGUGGCGAAAUUGAUUUCACCAACCAACAGCAAUAAAACGCUGGCAUUUCAUGUUCAAUCUGUUUUGAUUCGAAACAACACGAAAUUUUGCCUUCCAUUAUUCGUGUAGAAAACGGAAGAGGUUGGUGGCUAAUGGCGCUGGGCGCCUUGUUCAACGAACCAACGAGAUCUCCAUAAACUAUACGUAUUAUCCUGUCCACUUAAACGGUUGUUGAAUUACUCACUGUGUUACAUCGAUUUCUGCGAUUGCUUUUUGCCAAUAAAAUUUCCCAAGUCGAAGACGAAAA
Long non-coding RNA from Daphnia carinata, 496 nucleotides. RefSeq lists it as uncharacterized. Lineage: Eukaryota; Metazoa; Arthropoda; Branchiopoda; Diplostraca; Daphniidae. The record is from RefSeq and is a predicted model, not a curated record. The transcript has 2 exons.